ACGGGAGGCAGCAGUAAGGGAUAUUGGGCAAUGGGGGCGACCCUGACCCAGCCAUGCCGCGUGAGGGAAUGAGGCCCUACGGGUCGUGAACCUCUUUUGCCUGGGGAUAACGGCGCGGUCGUGAACCGUGCGUGCAGGUACCAGGCGAAUAAGCAUCGGCUAACUCCGUGCCAGCAGCCGCGGUAAUACGGAGGAUGCGAGCGUUAUCCGGAUUCAUUGGGUUUAAAGGGUGCGCAGGCGGCCGGCCAAGUCAGCGGUGAAAUCCGGGGGCCCAACCCCCGAAGUGCCGUUGAUACUGGUUGGCUGGAAUGCGGUCGAGGCGGGCGGAAUGUGGCGUGUAGCGGUGAAAUGCAUAGAUAUGCCACAGAACUCCGAUAGCGAAGGCAGCUCGCCAGGCCUGCAUUGACGCUCGGGCACGAAAGCGUGGGGAUCGAACAGGAUUAGAUACCCUGGUA
Molecule: ribosomal RNA, 455 nt
Filed under: uncultured bacterium
Lineage: Bacteria
Description: partial 16S ribosomal RNA
Rfam family: Bacterial small subunit ribosomal RNA
Source: RNAcentral